UACGGGAGGCAGCAGGGGGAAUAUUGCACAAUGGGCGCAAGCCUGAUGCAGCCAUGCCGCGUGUAUGAAGAAGGCCUUCGGGUUGUAAAGUACUUUCAGUCGUGAGGAAGGUGUUAAGGUUAAUAACCUUAGCAAUUGACGUUAGCGACAGAAGAAGCACCGGCUAACUCCGUGCCAGCAGCCGCGGUAAUACGGAGGGUGCGAGCGUUAAUCGGAAUUACUGGGCGUAAAGGGCACGCAGGCGGUUAAUUAAGUUGGAUGUGAAAUCCCCGGGCUUAACCUGGGAAUGGCAUUCAAGACUGGUUAGCUAGAGUCUUGUAGAGGGGGUAGAAUUCCAUGUGUAGCGGUGAAAUGCGUAGAGAUGUGGAGGAAUACCGGUGGGCGAAGGCGGCCCCUGGGACAAAGACUGACGCUCAUGUGCGAAAGCGUGGGGAGCAAACGAGGGAUUAGAUACC
Molecule: ribosomal RNA, 455 nt
Filed under: uncultured bacterium
Lineage: Bacteria
Description: bacterial SSU rRNA
Rfam family: Bacterial small subunit ribosomal RNA
Source: RNAcentral